GACGAACGCUGGCGGCGUGCUUAAUACAUGCAAGUCGAACGGACCGAUUCCGGUAGUUUACUAUUGGGAAAGGUUAGUGGCGGACGGGUGAGUAACGCGUGGGCAAUCUGCCCCUAAGUCCGGGAUAACAGAGCGAAAGUUCUGCUAAGACCGGAUACUCUUAACCAGCCGCAUGGUUGGUAAAGGAAAGGGAUCGCUUAGGGAUAAGCCGGCGUCCCAUUAGCUAGUUGGUGAGGUAACGGCCCACCAAGGCGACGAUGGGUAACGGGCCUGAGAGGGUGAGGAGGCGCAAUGGAGAGGAGACACGGGCCAGGCUCCUGCGGGAGGGAGCAGUAGGGAGGGUGGCUCAAUGGGGUAAACCCUGAAGCAGCAACGCCGCGGGGAGGAUGACACUUGUCGGAGCGGAAAAUCCUUGGCUUGGGAAAGAAUUAUGACGGGACCCAAGGAAUAAGCACCGGCUAACUCCGUG
Molecule: ribosomal RNA, 469 nt
Filed under: uncultured bacterium
Lineage: Bacteria
Description: partial 16S ribosomal RNA
Rfam family: Bacterial small subunit ribosomal RNA
Source: RNAcentral